RNAcentral lists this transfer RNA (73 nucleotides) under Stegodyphus mimosarum. It matches the Rfam family "tRNA". Rfam says of the family: Transfer RNA (tRNA) molecules are approximately 80 nucleotides in length. Their secondary structure includes four short double-helical elements and three loops (D, anti-codon, and T loops). The record is from Rfam by way of RNAcentral. Lineage: Eukaryota; Metazoa; Arthropoda; Arachnida; Araneae; Eresidae.
GUCUUCGUGGUGUUGUUGUCAGCACACUCGACGCGUAAUCGAGAGGUCCGGGGUUCGAGUCCCGACGAGGGCA